RNAcentral lists this ribosomal RNA (218 nucleotides) under uncultured bacterium. Its description in RNAcentral is "partial 16S ribosomal RNA". It matches the Rfam family "Bacterial small subunit ribosomal RNA", at positions 328 to 539 of the family's 1533-position model. The record is from RNAcentral.
ACGCUCGACACCUACGGGAGGUAGCAGUGAGGAAUAUUGGUCAAUGGACGCAAGUCUGAACCAGCCAUGCCGCGUGCAGGAUGACGGCUCUAUGAGUUGUAAACUGCUUUUGUACGAGGGUAAACGCAGAUACGUGUAUCUGUCUGAAAGUAUCGUACGAAUAAGGAUCGGCUAACUCCGUGCCGGCAGCCGCGGUAAUCUGAGCGGGCUGGCAAGGC